ACGUUUUUAGUUUAAGGGUAAAAUAAAGGUCUCCAAAACCUAAGAUGAAAGUUCAAUUCUUUCAAAACGUG
This 71-nucleotide transfer RNA is filed under the name Cyclospora cayetanensis. It matches the Rfam family "tRNA". Rfam says of the family: Transfer RNA (tRNA) molecules are approximately 80 nucleotides in length. Their secondary structure includes four short double-helical elements and three loops (D, anti-codon, and T loops). Lineage: Eukaryota; Apicomplexa; Conoidasida; Eucoccidiorida; Eimeriidae. The record is from Rfam by way of RNAcentral.